AAAAAAUAAAUAAAAGACAAAACAAACAAACAAAAAAUACUAUAAAUCGGUCAUUGUUCGUCCCUUAUUCUCUCUUUUCUCUCUAUGAAUCCCAUUGCCGCUCUCU
This 106-nucleotide non-coding RNA is filed under the name Partenskyella glossopodia. Lineage: Eukaryota; Cercozoa; Chlorarachniophyceae. The record is from RNAcentral.